GGGCAAGAGCUGAGUUAAGACGAGCACAUGCGUGGUUAGCGUGAAAUCGAUGGUUCAAGUCCAUUUAGGCCCAC
Molecule: transfer RNA, 74 nt
Filed under: Candidatus Phytoplasma sacchari
Lineage: Bacteria; Bacillati; Mycoplasmatota; Mollicutes; Acholeplasmatales; Acholeplasmataceae
Description: tRNA-Ile
Source: RNAcentral